Molecule: unclassified non-coding RNA, 257 nt
Filed under: plant metagenome
Description: partial contains small subunit ribosomal RNA and internal transcribed spacer 1
Rfam family: Eukaryotic small subunit ribosomal RNA (bases 1-46)
Source: RNAcentral
AAGUCGUAACAAGGUUUCCGUAGGUGGACCUGCGGAAGGAUCAUUAAAGAAUACCUGGACUCCGGUCCUCGUCGAGAAAGGUCGUCCCGGGUGGCCUCCAGGUCCCCCGGGGGCUUUCCCCUCCUCUUACCCUCUGUUUACUCCACCUCUGUUGCUUUGGCACAGCUCCUGCCCGGGUGGUUCCGGGCUUGGGCUCGCGGACGGACCCACUCGUGGAUAGUCUAUGUUUUGUCUGAGUACGAUAUAAUCGUUUACAA